GGACGGGUGAGUAACACGUGGAUAACCUACCUAUAAGACUGGGAUAACUUCGGGAAACCGGAGCUAAUACCGGAUAAUAUAUUGAACCGCAUGGUUCAACAGUGAAAGACGGUUUUGCUGUCACUUAUAGAUGGAUCCGCGCCGCAUUAGCUAGUUGGUAAGGUAACGGCUUACCAAGGCAACGAUGCGUAGCCGACCUGAGAGGGUGAUCGGCCACACUGGAACUGAGACACGGUCCAG
Molecule: ribosomal RNA, 240 nt
Filed under: uncultured Staphylococcus sp.
Lineage: Bacteria; Bacillati; Bacillota; Bacilli; Caryophanales; Staphylococcaceae
Description: partial 16S ribosomal RNA
Rfam family: Bacterial small subunit ribosomal RNA
Source: RNAcentral